GUGAGGAAUUUUCCGCAAUGGGCGAAAGCCUGACGGAGCAAUGCCGCGUGAAGGAUGAAGGCCUAUGGGUUGUAAACUUCUUUUCUCAGAAAAGAAUUAUGACGGUAUCUGAGGAAUAAGCAUCGGCUAACUCUGUGCCAGCAGCCUCGGUAAGACAGAGGAUGCAAGCGUUAUCCGGAAUGAUUGGGCGUAAAGCGUCUGUAGGUUGUUUAAAAAGUAUUCUGUCAAAGAUUAGGGCUUAACCCUAGAUAGGCAGAAUAAACUUUUAAGCUAGAGUUUGGUAGAGGCAGAGGGAAUUCCCGGUGGAGCGGUGAAAUGCGUAGAUAUCGGGAGGAACACCAAAGGCGAAGGCACUCUGCUGGGCCAAUACUAACACUGAGAGACGAAAGCGAGGGGAGCAAAUGGGAUUAGAAACCCCAGUAGUCC
This 426-nucleotide ribosomal RNA is filed under the name uncultured bacterium. Its description in RNAcentral is "partial 16S ribosomal RNA". It matches the Rfam family "Bacterial small subunit ribosomal RNA", at positions 354 to 796 of the family's 1533-position model. The record is from RNAcentral.